Molecule: ribosomal RNA, 924 nt
Filed under: uncultured Bacteroidota bacterium
Lineage: Bacteria; Pseudomonadati; Bacteroidota
Description: bacterial SSU rRNA
Rfam family: Bacterial small subunit ribosomal RNA
Source: RNAcentral
GGAUCCAGACUUUGAUUAUGGCUCAGGAUGAACGCUAGCUACAGGCUUAACACAUGCAAGUCGAGGGGAAACGAUAUUGGAAGCUUGCUUCCGAUAGGCGUCGACCGGCGCACGGGUGAGUAACGCGUAUCCAACCUGCCCAUCGCUUGGGGAUAACCUUGCGAAAGUAAGAUUAAUACCCAAUGAUAUCUCAAGAAGACAUCUGAAUGAGAUUAAAGAUUCAUCGGUGAUGGAUGGGGAUGCGUCUGAUUAGCUUGUUGGCGGGGUAACGGCCCACCAAGGCGACGAUCAGUAGGGGUUCUGAGAGGAAGGUCCCCCACAUUGGAACUGAGACACGGUCCAAACUCCUACGGGAGGCAGCAGUGAGGAAUAUUGGUCAAUGGGCGAGAGCCUGAACCAGCCAAGUAGCGUGCAGGAAGACGGCCCUAUGGGUUGUAAACUGCUUUUAUAAGGGAAUAAAGUGAGCCUCGUGAGGCUUUUUGCAUGUACCUUAUGAAUAAGGACCGGCUAAUUCCGUGCCAGCAGCCGCGGUAAUACGGAAGGUCCGGGCGUUAUCCGGAUUUAUUGGGUUUAAAGGGAGCGUAGGCCGGAGAUUAAGCGUGUUGUGAAAUGUAGAUGCUCAACAUCUGCACUGCAGCGCGAACUGGUUUCCUUGAGUACGCACAAAGUGGGCGGAAUUCGUGGUGUAGCGGUGAAAUGCUUAGAUAUCACGAAGAACUCCGAUUGCGAAGGCAGCUCACUGGAGCGCAACUGACGCUGAAGCUCGAAAGUGCGGGUAUCGAACAGGAUUAGAUACCCUGGUAGUCCGCACGGUAAACGAUGGAUGCCCGCUGUUGGUCUGAAUAGGUCAGCGGCCAAGCGAAAGCAUUAAGCAUCCCACCUGGGGAGUACGCCGGCAACGGUGCAACUCAAAUGAAUUGACGG